This 253-nucleotide ribosomal RNA is filed under the name uncultured bacterium. Its description in RNAcentral is "partial 16S ribosomal RNA". It matches the Rfam family "Bacterial small subunit ribosomal RNA", at positions 524 to 776 of the family's 1533-position model. The record is from RNAcentral.
UACGGGGGGGGCAAGCGUUGUUCGGAAUUACUGGGCGUAAAGGGCUCGUAGGUGGCCAACUAAGUCAGACGUGAAAUCCCCAGGCUUAACCUGGGAACUGCGUCUGAUACUGGAUGGCUUGAAUUCGGGAGAGGGAUGCAGAAUUCCAGGUGUAGCGGUGAAAUGCGUAGAUAUCUGGAGGAACACCGGUGGCGAAGGCGGCAUCCUGGACCGAGAUUGACGCUGAUGCGCGAAAGCCAGGGGAGCAAACGGG